This is a long non-coding RNA of Bacillus rossius redtenbacheri, 311 nucleotides long. RefSeq lists it as uncharacterized. The record is from RefSeq and is a predicted model, not a curated record. The transcript has 3 exons. Lineage: Eukaryota; Metazoa; Arthropoda; Insecta; Phasmatodea; Bacillidae.
GUACUGCACGGGAGGUGCAACCAUUAAACGGGCAUUGAGGAGACUGAAAAACCAUUUAUCUAUGUUUAGAGCAGUGUCUGUUCUACUGAUGAUAGGUACUAAUGAUGUAUUGGAUCUAUGGUGUCCGAGCUUUCAGACCACACACCAGAACAAUGCAGUUUUGAUUCCCAGUGGGGUGCCUCAAAUAUUUAAAAAGUGGUAAGAAGAGCCAACUACUGUGAACUGGCCUAAGGAACAAAAAAGGAAGCUGUGUAAGUGGCCAGUGUGUGCAGGCGAUACUUAACCAUGUAAAGCGGUUAAGCCAAACUGGC